ACAUCUCACCAUCAUCCCUUUGGUGAACCUCCCUUACAAGAGCAUGGUGAAUAAUCUGUGAAUACAUUUGAUGCUCACCAAACUCCAAAAAGUUUCCAAAACAUGUUGCCCUAAACUUCUCCAGCUGACUUUUAUUCAAUUUCUUGGCAAUAAUUAUGGGGACUUCCAUGUCACACCAAUAUAUUACUUUUCCAGUGAAUUUUCUAUUGCAUUCCUCAUAGUAAAGAUCCCAUAACUGUAAAU
RNAcentral lists this long non-coding RNA (243 nucleotides) under Panax ginseng (ginseng). RNAcentral describes it as "long non-coding RNA (PGIN_LNC009399)". The record is from RNAcentral. Lineage: Eukaryota; Viridiplantae; Streptophyta; Magnoliopsida; Apiales; Araliaceae.